GAUGAGAGCACAAAAGUGCGAUCUACACAUCACUCAAAUUAGUAUUAUUGCUAACAAAUGAUGAUAGAAGUGCUGUAUUAAUAUUAUAUUUUUGUGGGGUGCAGGUGAUCGUAAAUUAAAGUUAAAAUAUGCAUUGGGUCCAAAAAGAUGCAUCACCAUAUGUGACCAGCCAACCGUAUGGGUCAACCUCAGUUGCAUACUAGAAGGAGGUUAAGUUCAGCCUUUUAGGUUCACUGCAGCCAAUUCAAAGCAGCCUGUGCACCCGUUUGUGAUUCUCCCACUUCAUCCCA
Molecule: long non-coding RNA, 290 nt
Filed under: Phoenix dactylifera (date palm)
Lineage: Eukaryota; Viridiplantae; Streptophyta; Magnoliopsida; Arecales; Arecaceae
Description: long non-coding RNA (PDAC_LNC011572)
Source: RNAcentral